GGCUCAGUGGUCUAGUGGUAUGAUUCGUGCUUCGGGAAAUAAACCAUCCCAUCGCUUGGAAACGAGUGAUCAAAGCUUGUGCGAGGUCUCGGGUUCAAUCCCCGACUCAGACC
This is a non-coding RNA of Lasiosphaeris hirsuta, 113 nucleotides long. The record is from the annotation of a GenBank genome assembly. Lineage: Eukaryota; Fungi; Ascomycota; Sordariomycetes; Sordariales; Lasiosphaeriaceae.